Molecule: long non-coding RNA, 1444 nt
Filed under: Parus major (Great Tit)
Lineage: Eukaryota; Metazoa; Chordata; Aves; Passeriformes; Paridae
Description: lncRNA (ENSPMJG00000013723.1)
Source: RNAcentral
UUCAUCACAUCCCAUUUCAUCUUAGGCAUACUGUCAGUACAAAGGGAAUGCCUACAUAUCUGAUUAUGCCGUCUUUUGCAGUGCUUUUUUUCUGAUAAAGGACUAGUAGCACAAAAGGUCUAUCUGCACACAAGCGAAGCUUUAGGCUUAAUUGUAAGCCAAAAUUUUCUUAGCUGGAAUUCAAAUUUUAGAGAGUGUUUCAACAAUGAAGCCUGAAGCCCUAUAAGAUGUAGUGCACCUUUAGCUCCUUUUUCUUGUUGGACGUACAGAGUGCAGUCUGUACUAAUAUACCAGUUCCUUACAUGGAAAUAAUAAUCACAUUUGUUGCCCAAAAAAAAUCCACCUAUUCUGAGGAAGUCUGACAUACUCACCUUUUGCAAGAGUGGUUUCCUAUCCGUGGACUGCCCACACUGACAUCUAAAUAGGCAACACAGAAACAACAGUCUAGGAUAGCAACAGUUUGCAGAAACAACACACAUCACAACAGCUCUUAGUAUCAUUUUGGUUUGGGUUUUCUUCUCCCUCCUUGGUGAGGAUUUAGAUGGAAUAGCACAAGCUACAUGAAGACAUGUGGAAACAGCCCUGAAAGAGAAAAGAAAACUGGACAAAGAUGAAAUCCUGGGGACAAACCACAACUGACAAAAAAAGUAAAGGAAGGAGAAAAUGAAAUAAAGCAGCUCAAAUAGAUUCAGUAAGAUUCAGACAGAUCCACACAAAAGUCUGUUUACUUGCUGCAGGACACUGCUUUAAAGCAACAAAAAAUUUGUUUGGGCUUGCCCCACAGGGCCUGGCAAAGUGUCCUUAUAGGCACAUAGUGUCACUUCCUGAGCCACUGAGGGUGUGACCCAGACCACCUUUCCUGCUCCCCCACCUAAGUACUAAGGCCUUACUGGGCAGAUCACAGGGAGUACCUAAGUUGCAGCUGCAGUUUCUUCCUCCUAUUACAACACAGCAUAACCAGAUGGUCCAUUAGCCCAUAGGCACAGCAAAAGGCUAUGGGCCUGAGCUGUAGGAAAUAUUGCACUAGGAAAGCAGAGGAAAUGUGGGGUUUGAAGCUGGCUUUGUCCAUCCAAUACCAGCAAAAAGUGCACAGGGUGGCACACAACAUCUUCAGCCAGUGUGAGGCUUACCCCUCCAGGUGCCCUCUCCAUGGAACAGGUCAGCUGUUAUCCUUGCAGCCACACUGGGACUUGAUUUUGCAGGGAAAACAAAGUUGGGUGUGGGCACCGGGCACCACUGAAGUGGAAUACACAGGAGAGCUGAGAAGUCAUUCAGGAUUAAAACACUAAAGAUAAGUUCACUUGAAAUGUCAUCUGUACUCUGGAAGAUUGAAUAUGUGGCUUCUCACAUACAAGUUUCAGACAAAACUCUGCUCUGUCAGAUACUGAUGCAAAAAUGUGCAAGAGAAAAGUACCAAAAUAAAUGUAAAAGCUUUCCACUAGCA